AAAGGAAAGGAAAAGAACUUUAUUGAAAAGCAAUUGUCACUUAUUGUAUUCCAAGUAAAGAUGAAUAUUUAGUGAUGGCUAGCUACUCUAUUUAUAGUACACAAUUGACUUAAAAUCUAAGCAAGUAUAUUCCUAGAAUAUUUCUCGGUAGAUUGUGCGCCAAAAUAGAAUAGCUUGGAGUCAAAGCAAAAGCAGCAAAAGGCAUCUGGAGGGUGGCACGGCCGUGCCAAGGCUAGCACGGGCCGUGCCAAGCUUCUGACUUGUGGGAGAUAUAUUUUGUUUCCCAAUCUUCAUAUUUUUGUGUCCAAUCUGCUCCAAAUCCCUUUCUUUUGCUCCAAG
Molecule: long non-coding RNA, 339 nt
Filed under: Medicago truncatula (barrel medic)
Lineage: Eukaryota; Viridiplantae; Streptophyta; Magnoliopsida; Fabales; Fabaceae
Description: long non-coding RNA (MTRU_LNC004341)
Source: RNAcentral